UACGGAGGGGGUUAGCGUUGUUCGGAAUUACUGGGCGUAAAGCGCACGUAGGCGGAUCGACAAGUUGGGGGUGAAAUCCCGGGGCUCAACCCCGGAACUGCCUCCAAAACUGUCAGUCUUGAGUUCGAGAGAGGUGAGUGGAAUUCCGAGUGUAGAGGUGAAAUUCGUAGAUAUUCGGAGGAACACCAGUGGCGAAGGCGGCUCACUGGCUCGAUACUGACGCUGAGGUGCGAAAGCGUGGGGAGCAAACAGG
RNAcentral lists this ribosomal RNA (253 nucleotides) under uncultured bacterium. Its description in RNAcentral is "partial 16S ribosomal RNA". It matches the Rfam family "Bacterial small subunit ribosomal RNA", at positions 524 to 776 of the family's 1533-position model. The record is from RNAcentral.